Molecule: non-coding RNA, 5300 nt
Organism: Phalacrocorax carbo (great cormorant)
Lineage: Eukaryota; Metazoa; Chordata; Aves; Suliformes; Phalacrocoracidae
Source: RefSeq, a predicted model, not a curated record
GGGGAACAGAAAGUAAAAAGACCCUUAUCAAAUAUUGUAAUCAAUGGUGGCCGUUGUAUAAACUAGAAGGUGAAGUUAAGUAGUCGUUAAAUGGAUCUAUAGAUUGUAACACUCUUUUACAGCUAAUGUUGUUUUUAAGGAGAGAAGGGAAGUGGGAUGAAGUGUCAUAUGCAGACAUGUUUUUCACCCUCCGAAAUCAUCUAGAGUGGCAAAGGGACUGUGGGAUGGUGCUGCCACAGGACCCUAUGGUACUCGCACUUGCACGAGAAAAUAACAAGGGACUUAAAGGUAAAUUAAGGCGGUGUUGUUCAGCAUGUAGCAUUGGACAAAGGUGCACUAAAGUAGAUAAAAUUCAGCAGGCACCAGAACAAGAUCUAACUGAUUUAUUUAAGCCUCCCCCUCGACCACAGGAAAGGGAUGCGGACUCGGACGGAAACCCCACUCCCCCGGACAGUCCCAUAUCUUCCCGCACAAGGAAGAAAACUGCUUCUGGUACUGCCUCUACAGCAUUACAAGCCCUUCUUUGUGAGGCAGUAGGGCCAGAUGGGGGAACAAUGCAGUUAAACAGGGUCCUUCCGAAUCCCCGUCUGAAUUCCUGGAUCGCUUGAGGGAUGUAAUGUGCUGCAGCACACCGCUGGAUCCUGGGUCAGAGACUUGAAGGAUGCUCUCUUUUGCCUCCCUCUCCAUGAAGCCAGCCAAAAAUUAUUUGCAUUCGAAUGGGAGAACCCCAAAAGUGGUCAUAAGACUCAGCUCACUUGGACAGUGUUGCCACAAGGAUUUAAGAACAGCCCUACCAUCUUUGGCAAUCAGCUCGCAAAAGACUUGGAAUCUUGGGAAAUCCCCUCUGAGGAAGGGAAACUGUUACAGUAUGUAGAUGAUAUCCUGAUUGCCACCAGAACAGAAGAUGAUUGUAUGACCUGGACGCUUCUUUCCUCAGUGGAAACACAGGAGAACCCGUAUAUCAUAACUGCUUGGAGACCAUUGAAGCAACAUAUGCAAGCCAUCCAGAUUUGAGAGACGGCCCUAUGGAAAACGGGGAAAACUGGUUCACAGAUGGAAGCAGCUAUGUCCUGAGUGGUAAGAGACACGCGGGGUAUGCCAUUACCACCAGCCAAGAAGUAACAGAGUCAGGGCCUUUGCCGAUGAAUACCUCUGCGCAGAAGGCAGAAGUAAUCGCUCUUGGAAUAAUCGUGCCUUGGAAUUGGCCCAAGGCAAAGUUGUGAACAUAUAUACGGACUCGAAAUAUGCCUUCAGGGUUGUGCAUGCACACGGAGCAAUUUGGAAGGAAAGGGGACUAUUAAACUCUCAAGGGAAAAAUAUCAAGCAUGCAGAAGAAAUCUCGAGGCUGUUGGAGGCAGUCUAACUUCCUGAGAAAGUGGCAAUCAUGCACAUUAAGGCACACCAGAAAGUGAGCUCAGAAUUGGAAAAAGGAAAUGAGCUAGCGGAUAGAGAGGCAAAACAAAUAGCCAAAACAGAGGUAACAAUGGAAGGAGCUCUGGUUCCUGAUGGGCAAAUUUCUCUAGAAGGUAAGCCCAAAUAUACCAAGGAGGAUCAGAAGCUUAUCACAGAUUUGGAAGGGUCGUAUAACAAAGAAGGGUAGGUCCACACCCUGCAGGGAAAAUUAAUCAUUCGCUCUUGUUUAAUAUGGCAUUUAAUAAGAGAGUAACAUAGAAAAAGGCAUUGGGGGACAGAAGCUCUAUAUAAAUAUUCAGAGAAAUUGUGGCCAGAAAUUUAUACAGUACAGUAAGACAGGUGACUCAGCAGUGUGAUCUUUGUCUCCAGACUAAUCCUAAGAAUAACCCCAGGCCAGAAAUGGGCCAGAUUGGGAAAGGCAAUGGGCCUGGACAACAAUGGCAGAUUGAUUUUACAGAACUCCCAAGAAAAGGGGGGUAUCGGUAUUUACUGGUAUUAACUGAUACCUUUUCAGGUUGGCCAGAAGCAUUUCCAACCAGAACAGCCAAGGCUUGGGAGGUAACUAAAAUAUUAGUACAAGAGAUAAUACCAUGCUUUGGGGUUCUAGCUACCAUAUCUUCUGACAGAGGACCACAUUUUACAUCAAAAGUGGUACAACAAAUCAGCCACCAUUUGGGUAUAGAUUGGCAGCUUCAUACCCCAUAUCACCCUCAAUCGAGUGGCCAAGUGGAAAAAUUAACCACUUAAACAGCAAACUGGGACAAGAGGCAAAUUUGACCUGGCCUCAGUCUCUCCCUUUAGCCCUUUUGUGCAUACGAACAAGACCAAGGGCAAAAGGACUGAGCCCCUUUGAAAUCUUGUAUGGAGGACCCUAUGGGAUACAGGGAGGAAUAUCAAUACAAGCUGGGGAUGAAAUCAUAACUUCCUAUAUGGUGGCACUGGGCAAACAGCUCAAUAAAAUCAGAAAGCAUGUAGUUGGGGCUCAAGGUAGGGGUUUAGAUGGACCUGUACAUAAUAUCCAGCCUGGAGAUUAUGUGUACAUAAAGUCUCUUGCAGAAAAAACUUGGGAGCCACAGUGGGAAGGACCAUUCCAGGUGCUCCUCACCUCCUUUACAGCAAUCAAGAUCAAAAAGCAGAGUGCCUGUAUACAUCACACUCGGGUGAAGAAAGCACCAUGAAAGGUUUGGACUUCUGAAGUCCAGGGACCCUUGAAGCUCAAACUGCGGAGGUAGAAUGUGGAUUAAGAUUUGCGUAAUCCUGAUAGAUCUACAGGCAAUUAGCAUAGCUACCUGGCAAGAAAUUUCGUAUGUACAAUUGACACAGAAUAUUACUCAAAUUAUAAACAUGACCAAUCGUUGGGUUUAUACUCAAAUGUGAAGGCACUCUCGUCAUGGAAUGCCCUUAUAGGUGUCCCAUUGCCACUAAUUAUCUCUUGGACAGAUUACACUUUCUGGCAAAAUACUACUCUCAGGAAAGAUCCCCACACCAAGUGGGGCCAGGGGUUGGGAAUGAAAACAGUAACAGCCAAUACCUCAGGAGACCACUGCCUGGUAAGCUCAAGAAAUGGCAUGUUUGUUGGAGAAUAUUCAAAUUGCAAUGAAUCCAGCUCAUUGAACAUGACAAAUAUUGACCCAGCAUUCCAGUCACUUAAUUAUACUGGCCUCCCAGUUCCUCUAGGGACAGGGUGGUAUUGGUUGUGUGGUACAGCAGCUUGGAAGACUUUGCCUCUGGGGUGGCGGGGAGCAGGUACUUUAGGCGCCCUGAUCCCAACAUCACUAUUAUUGAUAAAACAACACAGAAUCCCUUGAGAAGAGGAUGGAGAGCCACUUUAAUCAGAAACUGAAGAAUGAAUAACCCCUUAAUAGAAACGCCGACAGGCUACCAUAGCUUUGUGCGGUGUCUAAUUCCAUCCCUGGGGGUUAGCGAGUUGGAGAAGGCCAUAGUAAACAUCUCGGCUGUAAUAAAGAUAAUUGAGAAUAAAACUGCAGAUGCCAUCAGGGCACUCCAAGAAGAAACUACUGAUUUAUCAAAAAUAGUAUCACAAAAUCAUAUGGCCCUAGACUUAUUAUUAGCCUCACAGGGAGGGAUAUGCACAGUAGUCAAUGCCAGCUCUUGCACAUAUGUAGACCAAAGUGGGCAAAUCGCUGCUGACAUACAGGGGAUCACAGAACAAUCAAAAUUCCUACAUAGAGUAACUCAAGCCAACACAUCCUGGGAGUUUUUUGAGCUAUGGGAAAAACUAACUUGUUGGUUCCCAAAUUUAACAUGGCUAAAACAGUUAUUUGUUACUAUAAUAAUCAUUAUAGUCUUAUCCAUAGUCCUUUGCAUAGCAGUACGAGGUGCCUUAUGGUUUUCCGGCGUACAGGAGAUUCCUACAGUGAAUGGAAAAAGAACCAGCUGUGACGAAGACUGGAAUCUGGCAAAUACUUUCAGAAUGUUAGAUAAAAACCCAUUGUAUUAGAAUAUCAGGAUAAGAGUAUUAGAUAAACGAAACAGUGUAUUAGAUUGUGGUGUAGUAAAACAAUUUACUAACUCUGUAGAAAAGGAGGGACUGAAAGGGGGAAAAUAAAAGUUAACUGUUCUAUUGCUGAAUGCUUAUCCAGCUGGAAGUUAAUUGUUGUGGAACGCUUAUCGAGCCACUGUGUAAAAUAAUUAGCAAGGAGGCCUGGAAUCCACCUGCGAAGGACAAAUUCCUGAUAAGGAUAGAAAAUUAUCUCAAGAACCAGCUAAAACCGACUUUGCAGUUUGGACAAGUGUCAAGGGAUAACUGAGUCUGCGCCAAACCAAAAGGUUACUAGCGGUAACGAAGAGCAACCAGCAGCCUUCAUCUUUACGACCCGCAACAACCACCACAAGCAGGCACUGCGCAAGCUCAGUUGGGAAAGAUUUAUGGAAAUAACUUUUUUUUGGCCGAUUUUAAUACGAAGCGCGGAAAGGUCAUUCAUAUGUAUAGGCGUAUGGGGAAAUCUUAUGUAUAUGUAAUGCUUUACUGUAUAAAUCCAAGACAAACCAUCACGCAGGCGUGCACGACUUCGGUGGGACUGCCCCUCCCCGUGCUGCCCAGCGCUGAACAAACAUGCUUACUUUACAGUCUUACACAUUGUGGAGUCCGCUUUCCGCACGUCAACGUGACAUAACCUCAGACUCAGAACCCCUCCCAAAACUAUCUUUUUGUGAGCAGUCCUGCCCUACACACACAGUCGGGGGUUGUGUGCACAGACAGAGCACCCAACGUCUUUCUGCGAAGGAUUUUUAGCAGUUCUGCAGUGUAGCCCUACAGUCUAUCUUCCUCCAGUUGAAUUUGGCCAGCAGAUGGAAGCAAAAGAACAAGUUAAGAAAUUUAGCAAAACCCUUCUCGUUCUGCGCUUCCUGGAACUCGACUCAUCCUUGGGACGGAAACUCGGUGAGACUGUACAGCCGUGACCUAUGGAAACGGGAGCUGACGGAGGAAGGAAUACCGUCUUGUGCCCUUUUGCUCUACCUGGCAGGAGGGACGGGGGCUGAGGAAAGCCGGGUGUCCUGCCCUGCCCUGAGGAGCUGGCAGGACAAGGAACACGUCCUUCCUGCAAAGGGAAGGGAAGCGGGAGCCGUGGGAAACCCCAACCCUUAAGGAGAGCCAGGACCACCAUCACGCCGGUGACCCUGCAGGCCUCCAGACAUAGCCCUCCCCACGCACGGUCACUCCCUCCGCGCCCGCCAUAUCACCGCCGGCUCCCCCAGGCGCCUGCGCGCCAGGGCGCCGCGCAUGCGCAGAAGCGCACUCCAAAUUUCCAUGGCAACGGUAACGCGCGGCCACCCGUCCUGCCCGUUCUUACCGCCUCCCUCGCCUGGUAGGUGGUUCUCAGCAUUUGGCAGCACAGCUCCAUCAGGGCGGGCAGCGGGCCGGG